This 1005-nucleotide long non-coding RNA is filed under the name Neodiprion pinetum (white pine sawfly). RNAcentral's name for it is "uncharacterized LOC124214918, transcript variant X1". The record is from RNAcentral. Lineage: Eukaryota; Metazoa; Arthropoda; Insecta; Hymenoptera; Diprionidae.
GUAGCUCGAGUAUAUACGUGGAAUUAAUUUACUUACAAAACGAGUUUCAGCUUCGGACUGGCGACACUGACACCUUCGGCCGAAAAACUUGUUUACGCUAAAUUGUGGUGGGAAAUGUGACAGAGUUAGAGAGAGGAGAAAAAAAAAUAACCUCGGGCUUUAAAUCAACACCGAACUCUCGACUCGGACUGACACAAAGUGCACGGUGACAGGGCGUCUGCCGGAUGUGACAACCGCAGACUCGUCAGAUAAGCAGACGCGUGACUCUCACGGCUUUUUCGCUUCGGCGCCACCUGUUGCUGCUUCUUGUAACUUCGGAAAUACGUUGUGUCGGUAAACAGGUCUUACCAUGGACCGGAGUCGGAGUAUUUCGACGCGGGGGGGAAACCACUACGGAGAGAGCAGAGAGGUUUCUCUCUGGAGAGAGUGCGGACAUAAAUUGUGCCUAUCUUUGAUUAGCUCCUGAACUGCGCAAGCAGAGUGCUUUAAAAUACGCGUAAUUCACUCGAAAAUAGUUGUUAUUGAAACAUCAUUCUGUCUUUUCGGCUUUACAAAGAAUGCCAACACUCGUAGUUUAGGGUUAGAUACAUUGGGAAUUAAUUUACCAUCCAUUCCAACUGGAGCACGAAUUUGCUCGAUGCAUUUUUAAGAGAAGUUCUUCGAUAGAUCGUCCCCUUCGCAAGUUCGACUCAAGCCAAAUGCAUUACCAUGUGUAAAAAUAAGGACGAAUAUUUUUAUUUAUCUUCAUUUCUUUUAGAAAAAAAUUGGCUAUAAAACCAGCAGCAGAAACUGGUGUCUCGGAUACAAGAACGAAGAUACAAGAUAAAUCAACUGAUCCUGAUUAAAAUUCUGAAAUAGAAGCGUUACACGAGGUCCAUCAUUUACAUACUGUGCAAGCUUCAUCGCCAGUGACUGAUACUUAUAUUUGUAAAUCUGAGUUUCAUUUCAAUAAAAAAUACGUCACAAAUUUGACCAUAUCAAAUUUAAUUAUGAGAUUGGAAAAUA